Molecule: long non-coding RNA, 1028 nt
Filed under: Mus spicilegus (steppe mouse)
Lineage: Eukaryota; Metazoa; Chordata; Mammalia; Rodentia; Muridae
Description: lncRNA (ENSMSIG00000027702.1)
Source: RNAcentral
AUGGUCGCCGCCCCACACUCUCUUGCUGGUUGGCGGCUAGGAGGGCUAGAGCGGCUGGUGGGAGGUGCAGUCUGGCUUCCGGUAUCAAGGGCAGGACUUCCGGGGCGGGCGGCCCAGGCGGAGGGAGGAGUGUCUGACAGUUGGCGCGACCCGGAGGGCGGGCGGGCGCCUCGUGGGGGUGCGGGCCCCAGAGUGCCAGUGAAAACCGAUAAUCUCAGGCUCCUAUGUUCGUCGUGUGGAUCCUGAUGAAUGUCUUUGGCAUACCAACAGCUCGGUGGAUCGGGAUUGUAGCUGAGAGUUCUAACAACAUAGAGGAGGGAAGCCCAAAGGAAGCAAAACAACAAACAGUCAAGAAGAUUGUUUGCCUCUUUCCUGAGUCCUGAAAUAGCGAUUUAAAAUAAUGACUGAUGCAUGUUCCUCAAUUUAAAAGGGGGCAUUUUGCAUUGUUAUCCUAGCCAGGAGAAGGGAACCUUAACUUGAAAUACAAUAGAAAUAGAACAUUCCUCUUCAUUUGUGGGCAGUAAAUGAAAGAUACUUGAAAAGUUGUUUUGUUUGUGUGUUUGUUUGUUUGUUUACUUAUUUAUUAUUUUUGAGGCUGGGUCUCUGUUUGUAGCUCUUUCUGUCGUGGAACUCACUACAUAGACCAGGUUGGCUUUGAACUCACAGAUAACUGCCUGCCUCUGCCCCUCUACCCAGUGCUGGGAUUAAAAGCCUCUGCUAUCAUGCCAGGCUGGCUAAAUAGUCUUAUAUACUUGGUUUCCACUUCACAUCUGCAUGCAACUGACAUUAGGUCUACAACUGUCCCACUCUGUCACUAGUUUAGUUCAGAUUUAAUGAAUACCUGUCAGACGUAGUUGUAGGAACUUUGAGUUUGCUGUUUUAACCCCUCUAAUAUAUAUUUUAAAAAAUUUUAAAUGACAUGUUUUAUUACACUGUAUGUAAAACCAGAGGAUAGCUUGGCCUGGUGGCCUUUACCUACUUAGCCUACUUAUCGAUCUGCCCUUCCCCACCUGCCCCCCCCCCCCCCC